GAUGAACGCUGGCGGCGUGCCUAAUACAUGCAAGUCGAGCGAACGGACGAGAAGCUUGCUUCUCUGAUGUUAGCGGCGGACGGGUGAGUAACACGUGGAUAACCUACCUAUAAGACUGGGAUAACUUCGGGAAACCGGAGCUAAUACCGGAUAAUAUUUUGAACCGCAUGGUUCAAUAGUGAAAGACGGUCUUGCUGUCACGUAUAGAUGGAUCCGCGCUGCAUUAGCUAGUUGGUAAGGUAACGGCUUACCAAGGCAACGAUGCAUAGCCGACCUGAGAGGGUGAUAGGCCACACUGGAACUGAGACACGGUCCAGACUCCUACGGGAGGCAGCAGUAGGGAAUCUUCCGCAAUGGGCGAAAGCCUGACGGAGCAACGCCGCGUGAGUGAUGAAGGUCUUCGGAUCGUAAAACUCUGUUAUUAGGGAAGAACAUAUGUGUAAGUAACUGUGCACAUCUUGACGGUACCUAAUCAGAAAGCCACGGCUAACUACGUG
RNAcentral lists this ribosomal RNA (497 nucleotides) under uncultured bacterium. RNAcentral describes it as "partial 16S ribosomal RNA". It matches the Rfam family "Bacterial small subunit ribosomal RNA", at positions 28 to 507 of the family's 1533-position model. The record is from RNAcentral.